AGAGUUUGAUCCUGGCUCAGAUUGAACGCUGGCGGCAGGCCUAACACAUGCAAGUCGAACGGUAACAGAAAGCAGCUUGCUGCUUUGCUGACGAGUGGCGGACGGGUGAGUAAUGUCUGGGAAACUGCCUGAUGGAGGGGGAUAACUACUGGAAACGGUAGCUAAUACCGCAUAACGUCGCAAGACCAAAGAGGGGGACCUUCGGGCCUCUUGCCAUCGGAUGUGCCCAGAUGGGAUUAGCUAGUAGGUGGGGUAAAGGCUCACCUAGGCGACGAUCCCUAGCUGGUCUGAGAGGAUGACCAGCCACACUGGAACUGAGACACGGUCCAGACUCCUACGGGAGGCAGCAGUGGGGAAUAUUGCACAAUGGGCGCAAGCCUGAUGCAGCCAUGCCGCGUGUAUGAAGAAGGCCUUCGGGUUGUAAAGUACUUUCAGCGGGGAGGAAGGGAGUAAAGUUAAUACCUUUGCUCAUUGACGUUACCCGCAGAAGAAGCACCGGCUAACUCCGUGCCAGCAGCCGCGGUAAUACGGAGGGUGCAAGCGUUAAUCGGAAUUACUGGGCGUAAAGCGCACGCAGGCGGUUUGUUAAGUCAGAUGUGAAAUCCCCGGGCUCAACCUGGGAACUGCAUCUGAUACUGGCAAGCUUGAGUCUCGUAGAGGGGGGUAGAAUUCCAGGUGUAGCGGUGAAAUGCGUAGAGAUCUGGAGGAAUACCGGUGGCGAAGGCGGCCCCCUGGACGAAGACUGACGCUCAUGUGCGAAAGCGUGGGGAGCAAACAGGAUUAGAUACCCCGGUAGUCCA
RNAcentral lists this ribosomal RNA (800 nucleotides) under uncultured bacterium. RNAcentral's name for it is "bacterial SSU rRNA". It matches the Rfam family "Bacterial small subunit ribosomal RNA", at positions 8 to 797 of the family's 1533-position model. The record is from RNAcentral.